CCUACGGGAGGCAGCAGUGGGGAAUAUUGGACAAUGGACGAGAGUCUGAACCAGCCAAGUAGCGUGAAGGAUGACUGCCCUAUGGGUUGUAAACUUCUUUUAUAUGGGAAUAAAAUGUUCCACGUGUGGGAUUUUGUAUGUACCAUAUGAAUAAGGAUCGGCUAACUCCGUGCCAGCAGCCGCGGUAAUACGGAGGAUCCGAGCGUUAUCCGGAUUUAUUGGGUUUAAAGGGAGCGUAGGUGGAUUGUUAAGUCAGUUGUGAAAGUUUGCGGCUCAACCGUAAAAUUGCAGUUGAAACUGGCAGUCUUGAGUACAGUAGAGGUGGGCGGAAUGCGUGGUGUAGCGGUGAAAUGCUUAGAUAUCACGAAGAACUCCGAUUGCGAAGGCAGUUCACUGGACUGCAACUGACACUGAGGCUCGAAAGUGUGGGUAUCAAACAGGAUUAGAUACCCUUGUAGUC
Molecule: ribosomal RNA, 460 nt
Filed under: uncultured bacterium
Lineage: Bacteria
Description: partial 16S ribosomal RNA
Rfam family: Bacterial small subunit ribosomal RNA
Source: RNAcentral